Molecule: ribosomal RNA, 253 nt
Filed under: uncultured bacterium
Lineage: Bacteria
Description: partial 16S ribosomal RNA
Rfam family: Bacterial small subunit ribosomal RNA
Source: RNAcentral
UACGUAGGGUGCGAGCGUUGCCCGGAUUUAUUGGGCGUAAAGGGCGCGUAGGCGGCCACGCACGUCCGUUGUGAAAUCGCCCGGCUCAACUGGGCGGGGUCGGCGGAUACGGCGUGGCUGGAGCAAGCUAGGGGGCAAUGGAAUUCCCGGUGUAGUGGUGGAAUGCGUAGAUAUCGGGAGGAACACCAGUGGCGAAGGCGGUUGCCUGGAGCUUUGCUGACGCUGAGGUGCGAAAGCGUGGGGAGCAAACAGG